Molecule: non-coding RNA, 82 nt
Organism: Caenorhabditis elegans
Lineage: Eukaryota; Metazoa; Nematoda; Chromadorea; Rhabditida; Rhabditidae
Source: Ensembl
UCCAAAAUCGAAUCACAAAUGAGCUUCUUCUGGCUCCGCGGAAGGGCUCAUUCUUGAUUCCGUUGCCUUCUCCUUUUUCUUC